This 253-nucleotide ribosomal RNA is filed under the name uncultured bacterium. Its description in RNAcentral is "partial 16S ribosomal RNA". It matches the Rfam family "Bacterial small subunit ribosomal RNA", at positions 524 to 776 of the family's 1533-position model. The record is from RNAcentral.
UACAGAGGGUGCGAGCGUUGUCCGGAAUCACUGGGCGUAAAGGGCGCGUAGGCGGUCUGGUAAGCGUGCGGUGAAAGCCCGGGGCUCAACCCCGGGUCGGCCGUGCGAACUGCUGGACUGGAGCUUGUCAGAGGCAGGCGGAAUUCCGGGUGUAGCGGUGGAAUGCGUAGAGAUCCGGAAGAACACCGGUGGCGAAGGCGGCCCGCUGGGCAGUGGCUGACGCUGAGGCGCGACAGCGUGGGGAGCAAACAGG